GAUGAACGCUGGCGGCGUGCCUAAUACAUGCAAGUCGAGCGAACAGACGAGGAGCUUGCUCCUCUGACGUUAGCGGCGGACGGGUGAGUAACACGUGGAUAACCUACCUAUAAGACUGGGAUAACUUCGGGAAACCGGAGCUAAUACCGGAUAAUAUAUUGAACCGCAUGGUUCAAUAGUGAAAGACGGUUUUGCUGUCACUUAUAGAUGGAUCCGCGCCGCAUUAGCUAGUUGGUAAGGUAACGGCUUACCAAGGCAACGAUGCGUAGCCGACCUGAGAGGGGGAUCGGCCACACUGGAACUGAGACACGGUCCAGACUCCUACGGGAGGCAGCAGUAGGGAAUCUUCCGCAAUGGGCGAAAGCCUGACGGAGCAACGCCGCGUGAGUGAUGAAGGUCUUCGAAUCGUAAAACGCUGUUAUUAGGGAAGAACAAAUGUGUAAGUAACUAUGCACGUCUUGACGGUACCUAAGCAGAAAGCCACGGCUAACUACGU
Molecule: ribosomal RNA, 496 nt
Filed under: uncultured bacterium
Lineage: Bacteria
Description: partial 16S ribosomal RNA
Rfam family: Bacterial small subunit ribosomal RNA
Source: RNAcentral